RNAcentral lists this ribosomal RNA (125 nucleotides) under Erythranthe guttata (spotted monkey flower). The record is from RNAcentral. Lineage: Eukaryota; Viridiplantae; Streptophyta; Magnoliopsida; Lamiales; Phrymaceae.
GGGUGCGAUCAUACCAGCACUAAUGCACCGGAUACCAUCAGAACUCCGAAGUUAAGCGUGCUUGGGCGAGCACGAGAGUAGUACUAGGAUGGGUGACCCCCUGGGAAGUCCUCGUGUUGCACCCC